GCCGAUAGAAAUGGAUAGUAAUAAUUCAAUCAUACAAGCUUUUUACACAUUAACCACAAAGCAAUCGAAUCAUGCAAAAAACAUAAGGACAAAAGUGGCUAAAGUCACGGCAACACUUAGAGAACUUAAUCUAAGAAUGGUAUAGAAUGAUAAUUUCUUUGAAGAUCUCUCGUCAUUUGCCAGAAAUCCUCCUGCCUGUCGCAGCCAUGUCGAAAGCUACCUUCCUCUCUAGCAGCUCCCAUGGUGGCACUUGAGAUUCGUGUUAUUCUCGAUACCGAAGAAUUGGGGGUCAGGAAUCUCCAUUGGACGAUCCUCAGCCACAAUUUCUACAUCAAAUAACUAAAUAACAGGAAUAAUAGGUCAAUAAAGUAUCAUUCAAAUAUGAAUUUCCUGUUGUCAGAGAUUGGGAAAAAAUUCAAAGAGAAGUUGAUACAAAAGCAAAUACCUCAGAUUCUGAAAGGGACAACAAAGAGAUGUCGACCCUUGUGAGUGAGAGAAUGGGCUCUCCAUCUUCCUUGGUGAAACCUCUCCAUGGGGGACAUGUUGGAUUGGAGGUUUACUGGUUGAGACCAAGGAAUCUGAAGGAAUUGGAAUAGAUCAGGCGAUACUAGUGAGCCCGAGUAAGACUGGUACUUGUGACUGAAGUCAAUCUGCAAUACAUCGAUCAAGUGUAGCAUCGAUCAAGCAAACACAGUGCAAAAUAUAUGCUGUGAUCAAGUGCUUGAUUAAAAGGAAUAACUCUGGUAUUGGACUUACACAUACCACAAGAAAGAAGGCGUCAUGGCAUGAUUGGAUCAGUGAAAGGCCACUAUAGGAAAUGACAUGGUACUAAAAAAUUACACAAUGCAUAACACAUACACCAUCAGUGCAGAACAAUAUAAACUGAACCUUUAUGAGUGUUGAAUAAUUAGCAGUAAAUAAGUAACUUCACGUUCAUUUGAUGCUUUAGUUAAUCCAAAGUUCCCAACUAACAGAAACAAGCAGCUGAUGGAUAUGUGGAGUUGCAAUCAGCUACACAAUUCAGUCAACUAGUGGUUUCCUUUCAAAGCUGUAGUACUAGGUAUGUGACAACAGUUGGAUGGUACUGUAAUUACGAUUGUUCAGAGUUCAGACAUGCAAUUCAAUGCUAGACAAAAACCUACGAAGAUUUGAAGAUAAGAUUCAGCAAACUGACCUUUCUAUCCAGCACAGCAGAAAACAAUAAAUCCCACUGCAAGAACGCACCACACACAUCAACUUCCUUGCAAUUGCAAAAAGAAAGGAAUAUGUAGAUCUAAAGGGAAGAUGUAAAGGAUGGGGGGUAUGUGGCCAGACCGUGAGGCGUCACCGGCGGAGCAAAAGACGGCGACGAG
RNAcentral lists this long non-coding RNA (1352 nucleotides) under Triticum aestivum (bread wheat). RNAcentral describes it as "long non-coding RNA (TAES_LNC011750)". Lineage: Eukaryota; Viridiplantae; Streptophyta; Magnoliopsida; Poales; Poaceae. The record is from RNAcentral.